This 465-nucleotide ribosomal RNA is filed under the name uncultured bacterium. RNAcentral's name for it is "partial 16S ribosomal RNA". It matches the Rfam family "Bacterial small subunit ribosomal RNA", at positions 339 to 795 of the family's 1533-position model. The record is from RNAcentral.
CUACGGGUCGCACCAGUGGGGAAUAUUGGACAAUGGGGGAAACCCUGAUCCAGCAAUGCCGCGUGUGUGAAGAAGGCCUGCGGGUUGUAAAGCACUUUCGGUUGGGAGGACUGCUUCUAGCACUAAUAUUGUUGGAAGUUGACGUUACCUUCAGAAGAAGCACCGGCUAACUCCGUGCCAGCAGCCGCGGUAAUACGGAGGGUGCAAGCGUGAAUCGGAAUUACUGGGCGUAAAGCGCGCGUAGGCGGCUAGAUCAGUCGGGUGUGAAAGCCCCGGGCUUAACCUGGGAACUGCAUCCGAUACUGUCUAGCUUGAGUACAGGAGAGGGGGGUGGAAUUCCACAUGUAGCGGUGAAAUGCGUAGAUAUGUGGAGGAACACCAAUGGCGAAGGCAGCUCUCUGGCCUGAUACUGACGCUGAGGUGCGAAAGCGUGGGGAGCAAACAGGAUUAGAUACCCCGGUAGUC